CCCGGGCGACCGGCGCACGGGUGAGUAACGCGUAUGCAACUUACCUAUCAGGAGGGGGAUAACCCGGCGAAAGUCGGACUAAUACCGCAUGAAGCAGGGGCCCCGCAUGGGGAUAUUUGCUAAAGAUUCAUCGCUGAUAGAUAGGCAUGCGUUCCAUUAGGCAGUUGGCGGGGUAACGGCCCACCAAACCGACGAUGGAUAGGGGUUCUGAGAGGAAGGUCCCCCACAUUGGUACUGAGACACGGACCAAACUCCUACGGGAGGCAGCAG
RNAcentral lists this ribosomal RNA (270 nucleotides) under uncultured bacterium. RNAcentral describes it as "partial 16S ribosomal RNA". It matches the Rfam family "Bacterial small subunit ribosomal RNA", at positions 86 to 354 of the family's 1533-position model. The record is from RNAcentral.